RNAcentral lists this ribosomal RNA (664 nucleotides) under uncultured bacterium. RNAcentral's name for it is "bacterial SSU rRNA". It matches the Rfam family "Bacterial small subunit ribosomal RNA", at positions 156 to 835 of the family's 1533-position model. The record is from RNAcentral.
AUCAUUGCUAAUACCGCAUAUGCCAUGAACAUCACAUGAUGAAAAUGGGAAAAGAGUAAUCUACUAGUAGAUGGGCUCGCGUCUGAUUAGAUAGUUGGUGGGGUAACGGCCUACCAAGUCAACGAUCAGUAGCCGGACUGAGAGGUUAAACGGCCACAUUGGGACUGAGAUACGGCCCAGACUCCUACGGGAGGCAGCAGUCGGGAAUAUUGCGCAAUGGAGGAAACUCUGACGCAGUGACGCCGCGUAUAGGAAGAAGGUUUUCGGAUUGUAAACUAUUGUCGUUAGGGAAGAUACAAGACAGUACCUAAGGAGGAAGCUCCGGCUAACUACGUGCCAGCAGCCGCGGUAAUACGUAGGGAGCAAGCGUUAUCCGGAUUUAUUGGGUGUAAAGGGUGCGUAGACGGGACAACAAGUUAGUUGUGAAAUCCCUCGGCUUAACUGAGGAACUGCGACUAAAACUAUUGUUCUUGAGUGUUGGAGAGGAAAGUGGAAUUCCUAGUGUAGCGGUGAAAUGCGUAGAUAUUAGGAGGAACACCGGUGGCGAAGGCGACUUUCUGGACAAUAACUGACGUUGAGGCACGAAAGUGUGGGGAGCAAACAGGAUUAGAUACCCUGGUAGUCCACACCGUAAACGAUGGAUACUAGGUGUAGGAAAUGAUUU